AUGAAGCUUAUAUGGGGUCCACCAGGUACUGGAAAGACCAAGAUGGUUAGCGCUUUAUUGUGGGUUUUGGCAUGUUUGAAAUGCAGAACUCUUACUUGUGCUCCCACUAAUGUUGCUGUCGUUGGAGUUUGCACUCGUUUCCUUAAAAAAUUGAAGGAUUUCAAUGAGCACAUUGAUGAAAAUGGUCUACCUUUUUCUCUUGGAGAUAUCUUGCUAUUUGGGAGCAGGUCUAACAUGGACAUCACCGAUGAUCUUCAGGAAGUUUUCUUGGAUUUUCGUGUCGACGAACUUGUUGAAAGCUUUUCAUCGUCGUCAGGAUGGAACUACAUAAUAGCUUCAAUGGUAUCCUUUUUAGAAGACUGCGCUUCACGGUAUGAUAUGCUUCUCGAGGAUGAUGGAAAAAUUGAUCCAGUGUGCUUUCUGGACUUCACAAAGAAGCAAUUGGAUGCGACAGCAAUAGCUCUGAAAAGAUGCAUAAUGAAUUUGUGGGCUCAUCUUCCUGGAAGGUGCUUUUCUCAUGAUAGUGUCAUAAAUAUAUCUAUGUUGCUUAAGAUGCUGGAAAAAUUUGGCGCCCUUCUUAGUGACGUAGACUUGACCGAUGAGGGCUUGAAAAGGGGCCUUGGUUGUCUGUCAACUGCAAACUCUGUUUGUGCAAAGCCUAUAUCUUCUAUUGAGAAGGAACUGGAUGAAGCAAGGUACACAUGCAUAAAGUUGCUUAAAGAUCUGCUACACUUGCUUAACUUACCCACUGGAGUAGACAAAAACUGGGUCAAGAACUACUGCAUAUGUAAUGCAACACUUCUUUUCUGUACCACCUCUAGCUCUUAUCAGUUACAUCACAUGGAUAUUGCACCGCUCGAUGUAUUAAUUGUUAAUGAGGCUGCUCAAGUGCGGGAGUGUGAAUUGGUGAUCUCACUACGGCUACAUUGGCUAAAAUAUGUUGUUUUGGUCAGGGAUGACUGUCAGCUGAGUGCGAUGGUUAAAAGCAAAGUAUGUAAAGAAGCUGGACUUGGAACAAGUCUUUUUAAGAGACUGGUUAAGCUAAAAUUUGAAAAACAUUUGCUGAAUAUGCAGUAUCGCAUGAAUCCUUGUAUCAGCUUAUUUCCAAAUGCUCAAUUUUAUGAGAGGAAAAUGUUAGAUGGUUCCAAUGUCCUGUCUUCUAGCUAUAAUAAGGAUUUCACAUGCCUCCCUUUUGGCAGCUACACGUUAAUAAAUGUCGCUGAUGGAAGGGAAGACAAAGAGGGCACAGGAAACAGUCGGAGAAACAUGGUUGAAGUUGCUAUUGUUUUUCACCUAAUCCAUACCAUCUUUAAAUCUUGGAAAAAGACAGGCCAAUGUUUCAGCAUCGGCGUGGUCUCUCCAUAUAAUGCUCAAGUUGAUGCAAUUAAAACUAGACUUGGCAAAAAGUACGAUAAAUGUGAUGGCUUUCAUGUGCGGCUGAAGUCCAUUGAGGGUUUCCAAGGAGAAGAGGAUGAUAUAAUAAUACUAUCAACUGUUAGAUCCAAUGGGAGAGGAGUUCUUGGAUUUCUUGCUGAUAACCAAAGAACAAAUGUUGCUCUUACUAGAGCAAGGCACUGUCUUUGGAUUGUUGGGAAUGCUCGUACACUGUAUAAAAGUGGGACCGAAUGGACAGACCUUGUUGCUGAUGCAGAAAGACGUAAAUGUGUUUUCAGUGCCACUAAUGACGCAACCAUCUGUAGGUUGGUUUUGCAAGUAAAGCAAGAGCUUGAUGAACUUGAUGAUCUUCUUAAUGCUGAUUCGGUGGUUUUCACCAAUACCAGAUGGAAGGUCAUUCUUAGCGAUGAGUUUAGGAAGUCCUUCACCAAACUCAAAUCACCACAGCUCAGGAGGGAAAUACUCCAAAAGCUUAUCAAACUUGGAGCUGGUUGGAGGACAACAGUUAAGAACCUUGACAUACCAGGUGCUUCUCAUCUUGCAAAAGUAUACAAGGUUAGAGACCUGUAUCUCGUAUGGAGUAUUGACAUGGAGAAAACCAAGAGAAAGUAUUUCCAGAUAAUAAAAAUUUGGGACCUACUGUCACAGCAAAAUGUUGCAAGAAUUGUUCAACGUUUCCAGAAUUUGUUUUCCAUGUACACGGAUGAUUACCUGGAUCACUGCAGGAGAGUGCAGACACAGGGGAAACUGGAAGUUCCUAUGGUUUGGGAUGUUGGACAUGCUAUUAUUCGCUAUAACAUGGAUUGCAAAGUGGAUGCUCAUGAAGAACAUGGUCUCGUGUAUACAUCAUAUGCCAUGGAAAAUUCAAAAGUAAGCGAAAGCUUCUUGCUGAUGAAAUUCUACUCUUUAUCAUCUGGAAUGGCAAAGCAUUUGCUGACAGCUACUGAUGGGUCUGAAAUCAACAUCCCCUUUGAACUGAGUGAUGAAGAGCAGGUGAUUAUCCAAUUCCCGCUCACUAGUUUUAUACUUGGGAGGUCGGGCAUCGGAAAAACCACUGUAUUGACAAUGAAAAUGAUUCAAAAAGAGAAACUGUCAUCGAUCGCAUCCCAAGGUCUAAAUUUGGAUGGAGCCGUGUCUGCGGCAGAUGACAAUAAACUUAUGCCACUAAAGAAUGGAGGAGAAUGUUCUGUGAAACAAAUAUUUAUCACUGUGAGCCCAAAGUUAUGUUCAGCCAUAAAAGAUUACAUCUACAGACUUAAAAGAUUUGGCACUGGUGAUGUCUCUGAACAGCCAAGCAUUCUUCGCAUGCAUGACGUCAUGGAUGACCUGGAAGAGUUUACAGAAAUUCCUGACAAUUUUUGUGAUCUACCUCAUGAGCACUAUCCUCUUACUAUAACAUAUCGUAAGUUUUUGAUGAUGCUUGAUGGAACAUGCCGGACAUCAUUUUUGGAUGUAUUUUAUGGUGAAAUGAAGUCUAGCUUUGAGAGAGGCCGUUCAAGAUCUCGUGCAGUGCAGACUUUUAUUGAAUUGAAUGAAGUUACCUAUGAAAAAUUUGCUACUUUCUACUGGUCUCGUUUUAAUAAAGACCUGACAAAGAAAUUUGAUGUGUCCACUGUUUUCACUGAAAUAGUCUCUCACAUUAAGGGCACAUAUCAAGCAAGGGGGCCUUAUACUGGCAAACUGGGAAGACAAGAUUAUGUGAUGCUCUCAGAUAAAAGAAUUUCGUCUUUGAGCAAAGAGAAAAGAAAUAAAAUUUAUGAUAUAUUCCUUGAAUAUGAAAGUAUGAAAUGCUCUGCCAGGGAGUUUGAUUUGUCAGAUUUUGUCAGUAGUCUUCACACUAGUUUUGUAUCUGAUGGCUACAAUGGAGAUUUGGUGGAUUUUGUUUACAUAGAUGAGGUACAGGAUCUGACCAUGACACAAAUAGCACUUCUUAAGUAUGUCUGCAGGAACAUCAAGGAAGGCUUCCUUUUUGCUGGUGACACUGCUCAGACUAUAGCAAGAGGUAUCGAUUUCAGGUUUGAAGAUAUCCGUUCACUUUUUUAUACUGCAUUCCUCACAGAAACUGAGGCGUCUAAACAAGGACUUAAACAUGGGGAGAAAUCCCAUCUCUCUGAUAUGUUCCAAUUGUCUCAAAAUUCCCGCACACACUGUGGCAUCCUCCGUAUGGCACAAAGUAUCAUGAGGCCUCUGUGCUUCUUUUUCCCAUCAAGUGUUGACAAGCUUAAUCCAGAGAAUGGACUGGUAUACGGAGAAGCUCCUGUGCUGCUGGAGUCUGAUAACGAUGAAAAUGCUAUUAUGAGAAUUUUUGGAGAAAACAAAAGUCAACAUGGUAAUUUGCAUGGGUUUGGUGCUCAGCAAGUCAUAUUAGUUCGUGAUGAUGCUACCAAAAAACAAAUUAUUGAUGUUGUUGGUAAACAAGCUCUUGUUCUGACUAUUGUUGAAUGUAAGGGCCUUGAGUUUCAGGUAUGGGCCUAUAAAUUCAGUUUCGUCUUUGUUCAUUUUGCAAAAUAUUUCAGUUGUAAAAUGCGCUGUUUCAGAAUGUUGAGUGUACUUACUUCAGAGGUAUUUUGUAGGAUGUGCUGUUGUACAACUUUUUUGUUCGUCGCCUUUAAGAAAUAA
This 4014-nucleotide ribosomal RNA is filed under the name Triticum aestivum (bread wheat). RNAcentral's name for it is "partial small subunit ribosomal RNA". The record is from RNAcentral. Lineage: Eukaryota; Viridiplantae; Streptophyta; Magnoliopsida; Poales; Poaceae.